RNAcentral lists this ribosomal RNA (253 nucleotides) under uncultured bacterium. RNAcentral's name for it is "partial 16S ribosomal RNA". It matches the Rfam family "Bacterial small subunit ribosomal RNA", at positions 524 to 776 of the family's 1533-position model. The record is from RNAcentral.
UACGUAGGGGGCAAGCGUUAUCCGGAUUUACUGGGUGUAAAGGGAGCGUAGACGGCAGUGCAAGCCUGGAGUGAAAGGAUGGGGCCCAACCCCCGGACUGCUCUGGAAACUGUGUAACUGGAGUGCAGGAGAGGCAGGCGGAAUUCCUAGUGUAGCGGUGAAAUGCAUAGAUAUCACGCAGAACUCCGAUUGCGAAGGCAGCAUACCGGCGCCCGACUGACGCUGAAGCACGAAAGCGUGGGGAGCAAACAGG